This 2735-nucleotide long non-coding RNA is filed under the name Melopsittacus undulatus (budgerigar). Its description in RNAcentral is "lncRNA (ENSMUNG00000020835.1)". Lineage: Eukaryota; Metazoa; Chordata; Aves; Psittaciformes; Psittaculidae. The record is from RNAcentral.
AAUGAAAGUUGAGAUUAGCAUCUAAUCAUCCUUCGCUUGACAGGCUGAGGUGUUAGGAACACUGAACAUUGACCAGCUUAUGUUGAACUGUUCAGUUUGGACAGACAACAGUGCUUUCGUUCAAGUGGAACUUGGAAGAAGUUCUACUGGGAAAGCACAGGCCCAAGACCAGUGGAAGAGUCUGUGAAGAGACAAAAAGAUCAUGAAAGGAAUGAAACCAGAGAAAGAUGAGACCACAUUGAGGCUUAGCUGGUGGAAUUAGAUACUGUACUUUGGCCUUGUGAAGAGAAGGUAUUUGACUGUUAACAGCUGAAGCACUCCUACACUAGAGGGAGAGUUGGAAAGAACUUUGUUGCUGAGCACUGCCCAGCUGUGGCUGUAGGGUUAAAUUCAACAUUGGUCUUCCAAAGAGAGUAGGAUGUUGAUUUCGUGUUCCUUAGCUCACCAACCGUUGCUGGAGAAGACAAUGUGUUUAGCCUGUACCACUGCCAUAUCUUCUGUUGCCUCCAUCACUCUGUCUUUUCAGCAUUCUUAAGUAGUUCUUCCUCAGUCCCCCCUCUCCCCAGGCAGCCAUUACUGAAUUUAUGAUUCAAAAAAUUUGGGUGAAGAUAAGAGGUACAGUACGAACUGUGGCAUAGACCCUGUAAAGGCACCUGAAAGUGAACUCUAAUGAGCAAGACCAGGUUUUGGAGAAGGGGGAAUUGCAGAGAAGAUGGCACAAGGCUUCUCUCUGAGAUGUGCAGCAACAGGACAAGAGACAAAAGUGAGAAGCUGCAUCCAGGGAAGUUCCAGUUGUGGGAUGAAGAAUGGUUUUGUCUUCCAGCUUCUGAUAAGAAAAACAAAAGUAAAAGAAGACACAGGUAUGUGCUAGCUGGAAGAAACCUGUUCCAACACUCGGAUUAUAAGAAAAAGAGUAUGUUGAGAGAAGAAAGAAGUCUGACAUACUUUCUACUUGAUCUGAAAUUCAUCUCCAUGCAUCAGCUUUCUGAGUAUUUUUUAAUGCUGUAGUCCCACGUUACAGGUAUAUGCUGCAGGAUAAAGAGCAUCAGUCCCUUCUGGAAAUGCCUUGGGAAUACAUUACCUGGAGGAAGCACGAGAAUUUGUGAAAUUCUGAAGAGAGAAGAACAAAAGGUACUAAAUCUGAGGCUGUGGCUGCUAAAAUGAGCUGCUGAGCACUGGAGAGCUGCAGAACCUCUGCACCUGUUAUUUCCAGUAAUAGAAAAGAAACCCAAGUGUCUCAAAGGUGUGGAUGCUAUUUUGUUUGGUUUGGGAGAAGUGUUAAAUAAAAUAACCGUUCUGAAAGCAAAAGUUCUUUUCUAAAGGUGGCUAUUCUCUGUAUUCAUCUGGUUUCCCUAUUCCAAUUCCCUUCAGCUGAUAAUGCUGCGUCCUCAGGUCCCACACCCUCCAUCGUGGCCUGUGUAACAUGCAGUAUUUCAAAGGAGCACAGCUGGGUGCUGGACUGUAAUUUGUCAUGCAGCUAGGACCACAUCCAUCAGUUUAUUUGAAGGUAAGGACCAGCACCUUGGAAGUGGAUGGAGAGCUAAUGGACUCAUGUUUCUGCUGUGUUCACAGGGACUUAAACCAGGGAGAAAAGGGUCAGGCACGUCCAUAUAAUUUCACUUUUUGCCUUAGAUGCCAUGAUUUGUAGUAGUUUGGUCAGAAAUUACAAAGGAGCAGCUCUCUGCUAUGAGUUCCUCAUGCCAUAGAGAGCUGUAAUGAGUUUAUACCAACAUGGAGCUAAGAGUUUUCAGUCAGUACUGGGACAAAUUUCAGAGAUGCAUUGAGUGAAGGGUAAAUCUUUCCAUCACUUAAAUAUCUCAGGAUACUUAAGGUAUCCUCAUGGUAUAGUAUAAGAGGUCAGUGGGACAGAAGUGUCCUAAAUGCAUCUUGAUAGAUUUUCCUGUCACUGUAUAUCAGAAACCGUUGUAAUUAGUCAGCCACUAGCAAUGAAUAAUGGCUAGAAAUAUGGCUAAUGGAAAAUACAUGUUUCAGAAUCAGUAUUGGGAAAGACUGUGGGAUCUUGAAAGUGUUUGGCUGUGGAACUGUCUCCUUGCAAAAUGAGAAACAAGUAUUUUGCCUCUGUGUUCAUUGCAGAUCUCCAAAUACAUAGCUGGAGUGUAAAUUAAGACAAGAGACAGUAAAACCCAGAAUAGUUGCCUUGGAGUGUAGUCCUAAACUCAGUUUAAUGGUUGGUUUCACUUUGUCUUUUAUAAUACCUACAGUAUAUCUCUACUUUUAUAGGUAUGCAUGUAUAUGUGUGUGUAUACAUACAAGUGUUCCAGAAAGAAAUGUUUUAUUUUGGUUUUCUUGCAAGUAUCAGUAUUUCAAUCUUAACACAGGUGCAUCCAGAUAUUAAAGUAACCAUGGCAAAAAAUAGAAUAAUAAAAAAAGAAUUCCAAAGACUUCUUCUGUACCUAAUUUGCAGCUCUUUUCAAAAUGUGUGGUUAUGAAUAAACCAUUUACUUUCACAAGCAUAGGCUCUGCAGGAUUUCAGAUACAAAAGAAUUAAAAGGUCAGAGAAUUACAAUGCCUUUACUGCAUUCCUGUAUGACAGCAAAGUUUGUUACUAUUUGCCGUGUUCAUCCUUAAUUAAAGCAUCAAAUCACAUGUAUAGUCUGGAGCAGCUCAAUUAUGAAAGGUUACAUCCAUCAGUUUCUUCUUGUUUAUUAAUGGCUGGCCCUGACUCUUGAUUCAGUCAGCACUCUUUCAUGAGGAUAAAAGUACAUAUUAUGUUC